AAAUUUUCUUAUCAUUUGAAAUUUGGUCGUGUCGCGUUAAUAUCGUGAUAUGUGAAUCUGAUUUUUUGAUUUCAUUAACUAAUUGAGAUCCAAC
Molecule: small nuclear RNA, 94 nt
Filed under: Staphylococcus aureus
Lineage: Bacteria; Bacillati; Bacillota; Bacilli; Caryophanales; Staphylococcaceae
Description: SaV16
Source: RNAcentral